Polypterus senegalus (gray bichir) is the source of this 2507-nucleotide RNA transcript. It is a transcript of the gene named mono-ADP ribosylhydrolase 1, with no coding region annotated. The record is from RefSeq and is a predicted model, not a curated record. NCBI's taxonomy places the organism in Eukaryota, Metazoa, Chordata, Cladistia, Polypteriformes, Polypteridae. The transcript has 11 exons.
AUCACUGUCUGCGCAAGGUGCGCGCUUGGGCUUGACUUUCGUUUUAAGGUCCAACGUAUCGGCAAAUAGACUGAGUGAAAAGAACAGUAGUUUGUGAAAUAAUAUGCUGUUUCAAAUAUGUACUGCAGCUGCUGUAGCAGCUUUCAGAGAUUUUAGGCUUUCACUGUUUAUGUCCCGUAUGCAAAGCACACUGAGUAAAGGAACGGGGAUCACGAUCACGUCGUGCCUGCUGUGCCCUCGGGUGAGCGCCCUCCGCAGCCUGGUCAGAGGAGCAACGGGAGCGCGCGGUGGCGUUACUGUUACUCGUCGCUUGAAGAGUAGCCAAACUUUUGUAAACAGAGGUGAAAAAGUGGGUACUGAUAAGAAGACGAGUCAUCGACUUUUGGGAGGUGUUCUGGGGACGGCAUUUGGGUGCACAGCGGCCCUGCACUCCGCAGAGGCACUCGGGAUGGCGGGUAAAAGCAUCGAUCUGACUUCUCGGGCCACCGAUUGGAAGGAGGCAAAAAGAGCUUUGGAGAACCUCACCUCCUCAGAGAGGAGAAAGUUUUAUCACACUCAAGAUUUUAUACCUUUGGAGAAGAUUCCCCCCUGGAUACCCCCAAAUGAUAGAGAGCCUGUAGACAGAAGGAUUUCCCUCUUCCGUGGUGACAUCACCAGACUGGAGUUAGAUGCUAUAGUAAAUGCAGCUAACUCGUCAUUAAUGGGAGGAGGAGGAGUGGACGGUUGUAUCCACCGUGCCGCAGGCCCUCUCUUGAAGAAGGAAUGUGCUACUCUGGGAGGCUGUGAGACUGGCAAAGCAAAAAUGACAAGUGGAUACAGGCUGCCAGCAAAAAAUGUGAUCCAUACAGUAGGGCCAAUUGUUCAUGGUCAACCUGGUGAGCAACAGAAAAGCUCCCUCCGCAGUUGUUACUGGACCAGCCUUGAUCUUGCUGCAAGGCAUGAACUGAAGACCCUGGCCUUCCCAUGCAUUUCCACUGGGAUCUAUGGUUACCCUCCUGAUGAGGCAGCAGACAUUGCUAUCCGGACAGUGAAAGAUUACCUGACAGAAUAUCCAGAUAAGUUCGAGAGGGUGGUGUUUUGCGUCUUCCUGAAGUCCGAUGAGACCCUGUAUCAGUGCAAGUUAAAGCAAUUCUUAACAGAUCAACCUUGUGUUGGAGAGUUGUGCUGUGUGUACAAGAGAGCUGACAAUCAGUGAAUGCACAUUUUGGAAGUUCAUUGCAUAGAAUGUAGUGGCGAGGAACACAGGAAUACAGAUCCACAGUCCAACAGCAAGCUCUGAGGAUGCUCCAGUGGAAAGAUCUGCUGCCGAAUAAGAUGUUUUUGGUGUGUUGUUGUGCUGAUAUCUACAUGAUCUACAUGCUGUUAUUGAUUGAUUGAUGUUAGUUACCAGAAUAAAUAUUCCUGUAGAUUUUGCAUCAUUUCUGCACUAAACACAUUUUUAAAUGUUAAUUUUCCUUGAGUACAUUGAAGGAUGAAUGCAACACACAGCACAGGCAAACCAGCAGUUAGCAUCUUAAAUGGAAAUACGUGACACAUAAUCCAUUGGGGAAAAAUCCCUCACUUUUUUCUUUGUUUAGCUUUGUUCUCUACCAUCUACAAGAGCCCUUUGCCUGAAAAAUGAAAUACAUUUUUUAUUGUUUAACCACAGCUGCUCUUUCCUUUGCUGUGUCUUUUAAUUUAUUUUCUGUCCCACAACAAGCAAAGACAGACAUAUUAAAUCCUUCAUUAUACUACGCUGUGAAACUGCUUCCCCUAGAGAGGCAAGGGCAGCACACGUCUACUUCCAAUACAUCCCCUUCACCAGUUUUUCAUUGGCUUUUGAUCAACUGAUGAAAUUGUGCUAAUUGAAAGUCUUUGAGUGCAGGCAUGUGGAAAAAAGAAUCUCAUUCUGAUUUUGUUUAUUCUGAGGCAAUAAGAUUAAAAAAAAAAGUGAUUAAAAAGAGGUUAAUUUUCACCUCUUCACAGUCUUGUGCUUAAUGAACUACUUUCAGUUGCCACUAAUGAGUGAGAUGGAGAUCAUGGAAUCUUCUAAUUUAUCUUGUUGAGCAUGCGCUGCCGCGCCUCCUGAGGACAAUCUCUCAAUGAGCCUGUCUGCAGUCCCGUAGCAUGUGCCGCAGGCAGCAUUCUUGUGUGGAAAACGGCAAGAUGUGCCAGUGCGUUGUCGCAGCACCAUAUGUCACACACAAUCGAUAAACAAACAUGCCAAUUAACAACAAAUAGCAAAGUAAACUUAAAGCUAAUAUAGAAGAAACAUUUAAAAAAAGUCAGCAAAUCUGGUAAAUUUGUAAAAGUAUGUACUUAAUUAAAGACCCCCUCUACUCCACUAAGCACUGGUUGCACACCCACACAUACACCCACAUUUACUCAUAAUGGGACAAUUUAGCAUUGCAUAUUAAAUUAAAAUGCAUAUAUAUGAGAUGUGAGAGAAAAACUGGGAUACAACAAAAAAACCCACACAGCCAAGCGAAAAACGUGCAAACUCAAUAAAGAUUCACCAAAGCAGGGAA